GCUGGGGCUGGGGUGCUGGUUGCGCCUGGAUGCUGGUGUGCGUGGGCAACGCGCUAUUUGCGCGCCGGGGUGGGAGGAUGCCUGCCGCCUCUGAAUUGCUGGGCAGGGACCUGCAUGUAGCAGGCAUCUGUGGGCAUAUACCUGUGAGUGUGCACAUUGUGUUAGGGGUGUGUGUGUGUGUGUGUGUGUGUGUGCCUGCGUGCAUGUGUGACAAGCAGCCCUCCCUCUGGGCCUGGCUGCUGGCCCCUGAACCCUGCGAACCAAUCUCUAACAACAAUCAUAGUAACAAUAAAUAAUAAAGAACAAUAAAACAGUAGUUAACAGUCCCUCCCUAGCAGGAUAACAAUAAAAUGCAAGAGGAGAUAUUUUGAGGAGGGGCCAGGGGUAGGAGUCAGGAUCACAGCAUCUGAGGGAAGACAAGGGAGGAAGGAAGGAAGUUAGCUUCUUCCUAUGCCCUUGGGGGGCUGGGUUUGGGAACCCCCCUCUCCAGACAAGGUCCUCCGGCCAGAGGAGGAUAGGGAGAGCCAGGAGGCCGCUCUUUCCUGCUUCUUUUUCUCUGGCUUUUGCUUUGUGCCAUCAGGGGAGGGAUCCCACAUAUGGGGGUGAUUAGUGGCUUUGGGGAGUCUCUGAAGCCCCUGUUUUAAAGAGGAGAGCAAGCAAACAGAGUCAGGUGGGGGGAGGAGGCAGAGAUGGAUGAGACGAUGGCCAGAGCCGGGGUCCUGGCCACUCGGGCAACAGAGGUGCCCGGGAGGACGCGCCGCCGGGUAUGGACGGAAGCAGACGAACAUUUAUGGCCGCCCGAGAGAGAGAGGGGAGAGCAAGGCCGGGUUCGGGUUUCCGGUAGGCCCAGGGAAAGUUCCCUUCCUAGGGGAUUUUCAAACACACAAACGAACAAACAAAAACAACAACAAAAAAAAAAAAAAAAGAGAGAAGAAGGGAGGGGUUGAGGAGCGCUGAAUUUUCCUUCGCGGGCUUGGAGCGAGCGGAUUGCCAUAAAGGAAGAGAGGACCACGAUCCCGGAUCCUUCCACGUCCGCCUCAUUCUCUCCAGGCCUCUCCACUUGCGGGAGCUCGCAGCCACCCGGACACUGACACGGCGGGGGCUUCUGGACCGCCCCCCAUCCACUCCGCAUGGUUUCCCAAAGCCUAAUGACCUCCAACCCUCCGGGGGGGGGGGGAAUAUCCGUGCCCUGACACCUCUGCACCCUGUCAUCUGUGAGCGUGCUCACUUCGGGAAUAUCGAAGAAGAAGAAGAAGGCGGCAGGCGGGCUUAGAGCCGUGUUUACAUCUAGUUCUACUGAUCCGUUCACAUCUGGAGACUUUAUUUAUAACCCCCACUAUAACUCUCUCUGUUUGGAGGCACGGGUAGCUCUAUUGACAGACUGAUGUCUAGAAAAUAUUGCUCUAUCUCUAACCAUACCUAAAUGUGCUGUGCUUGUAUUUACAGAUUUAUGCUUGGGGAAAAUAUAAUUAUUUCCAUUGUAUUUGUGCAUAUACCAUAGUUAUAGAAGCAGAUUUAUAUAUGAGAAAAUAUACGACUCUCUUAUAGCCA
Molecule: long non-coding RNA, 1551 nt
Organism: Zalophus californianus (California sea lion)
Lineage: Eukaryota; Metazoa; Chordata; Mammalia; Carnivora; Otariidae
Exons: 2
Source: RefSeq, a predicted model, not a curated record